AUACGGAGGAUGCAAGCGUUAUCCGGAUUUAUUGGGUUUAAAGGGUGCGUAGGCGGGAUUUUAAGCGUGAGGUGAAAUGCCACGGCUCAACCGUGGAACUGCCUCGCGAACUGGGAUUCUUGAAUGCCCCUGCCGUGGGAGGAAUGUGUGGUGUAGCGGUGAAAUGCAUAGAGAUCACACAGAACACCGAUUGCGAAGGCAUCUCACGAAGGGGUGAUUGACGCUGAGGCACGAAAGCGUGGGGAUCAAACAGGAUUAGAUACCCUGGUAGUCCACGCAGUAAACGAUGAUAACUAACCGCUGGUAAGUAAUUAUCAGUGGCCAAGCGAAAGCGAUAAGUUAUCCACCUGGGGAGUACGACCGCAAGACUGAAACUCAAAUGAAUUGACGGGG
RNAcentral lists this ribosomal RNA (393 nucleotides) under uncultured bacterium. Its description in RNAcentral is "partial 16S ribosomal RNA". It matches the Rfam family "Bacterial small subunit ribosomal RNA", at positions 523 to 918 of the family's 1533-position model. The record is from RNAcentral.